Molecule: non-coding RNA, 95 nt
Filed under: Escherichia coli O157:H7 str. EDL933
Lineage: Bacteria; Pseudomonadati; Pseudomonadota; Gammaproteobacteria; Enterobacterales; Enterobacteriaceae
Description: anti-sense RNA silencer of rcsA gene
Rfam family: DsrA RNA
About the family: DsrA RNA regulates both transcription, by overcoming transcriptional silencing by the nucleoid-associated H-NS protein, and translation, by promoting efficient translation of the stress sigma factor, RpoS. These two activities of DsrA can be separated by mutation: the first of three stem-loops of the 85 nucleotide RNA is necessary for RpoS translation but not for anti-H-NS action, while the second stem-loop is essential for antisilencing and less critical for RpoS translation.
Source: RNAcentral
AAGGUGAUGAACACAUCAGAUUUCCUGGUGUAACGAAUUUUUUAAGUGCUUCUUGCUUAAGCAAGUUUCAUCCCGACCCCCUCAGGGUCGGGAUU